This 119-nucleotide ribosomal RNA is filed under the name Pteropus alecto (black flying fox). Lineage: Eukaryota; Metazoa; Chordata; Mammalia; Chiroptera; Pteropodidae. The record is from RNAcentral.
GUCUACAGCCAUGCCACCCUGAACAAGCCAGAUCCCAUCUGAUCUCGGAAGCUAAGCAGGGUUGGGCCUGGUUUGUACUUGAAUGGGAGACCACCUAGGAAGACUAGGUGCUGUAGGCA